This 623-nucleotide ribosomal RNA is filed under the name uncultured Gammaproteobacteria bacterium. RNAcentral's name for it is "partial 16S ribosomal RNA". The record is from RNAcentral. Lineage: Bacteria; Pseudomonadati; Pseudomonadota; Gammaproteobacteria.
UUGGGAGCUCUCCCAUAUGGUCGACCUGCAGGCGGCCGCGAAUUCACUAGUGAUUCGUAUUACCGCGGCUGCUGGCACAGAGUUAGCCGGUGCUUAUUCUGCGAGUAACGUCCACUAUCCCAGAGUAUUAAUCCAAGUAGCCUCCUCCUCGCUUAAAGUGCUUUACAACCAAAAGGCCUUCUUCACACACGCGGCAUGGCUGGAUCAGGCUUUCGCCCAUUGUCCAAUAUUCCCCACUGCUGCCUCCCGUAGGAGUCUGGGCCGUGUCUCAGUCCCAGUGUGGCGGAUCAUCCUCUCAGACCCGCUACAGAUCGUCGCCUUGGUAGGCCUUUACCCCACCAACUAGCUAAUCUGACUUAGGCUCAUCUAUUAGCGCAAGGUCCGAAGAUCCCCUGCUUUCCCCCGUAGGGCGUAUGCGGUAUUAGCACUCCUUUCGGAAUGUUGUCCCCCACUAAUAGGCAGAUUCCUAAGCAUUACUCACCCGUCCGCCGCUAGGUAAUGUAGCAAGCUACAUCACCCCGCUCGACUUGCAUGUGUUAAGCCUGCCGCCAGCGUUCAAUCUGAGCCAUGAUCAAACUCUAAUCGAAUUCCCGCGGCCGCCAUGGCGCCCGGGAGCAUGCGAC